UGUCAUGAUGAUACUGAGAUUAGGAAGUGCCGUCAGAAGCGAUAACUGACGACUUUAAUGUGUCUCUGACA
Molecule: small nucleolar RNA, 71 nt
Organism: Talpa occidentalis (Iberian mole)
Lineage: Eukaryota; Metazoa; Chordata; Mammalia; Eulipotyphla; Talpidae
Product: small nucleolar RNA SNORD49
Exons: 1
Source: RefSeq, a predicted model, not a curated record